Small nuclear RNA from Bison bison bison, 100 nucleotides. NCBI's taxonomy places the organism in Eukaryota, Metazoa, Chordata, Mammalia, Artiodactyla, Bovidae. The record is from Ensembl.
GUACAUAUGCACACAUACUAAAAUUGGAAUGAUACAGAGAAGAUUAGCAUGGCCCCUGCUCAAGGAUGACAUGCAGAUUUGUGAAGCAUUCAUAUUUUAG